Molecule: long non-coding RNA, 439 nt
Organism: Eupeodes corollae
Lineage: Eukaryota; Metazoa; Arthropoda; Insecta; Diptera; Syrphidae
Exons: 3
Source: RefSeq, a predicted model, not a curated record
CCUUCAACCGAUAGAUGGUGUAAGGUUAAUGGUCUCAUUACAUUCAGAUCAAUUCAACUAAAAAUUGGACGUUUAACUUUGUUUUGUACAUAAAACAACACGAACAACUGGACACCUGAUUAUUACAAAAACUUUAGAAUUGACAUUUAGUCGAAAUGGUCUAUUUCAACUCGACCCCAUGUAAACAUAAAAAAGUACGAAGUCUUUAUAACCAGUAUUCUCUGUCGUCUGUCAUUCAAAUCCAAACCAAAUCAACCCGACAAUCAACAUGGUGGUAGGUCUGGGAGGCAGUCCACCAGGCGUCCGCAACAAAAUUUGCUACUUAUUGGGAUACAUUUCCAAUAAGGAGUAAAAAUGCACGGAGUGUAGACGGUCGCCUGGUAUGUAUGUAAAAUAAACAUGCAGAUGCCUAUCCUAAGGAGGAUGGAAAACUACCAGG